CGUCCUAUUAGCUAGUUGGAGAGGUAAUGGCUCACCAAGGCUACGAUGGGUAGGGGUUCUUAGUGGAAGGUCCCCCACACUGGCACUGAGAUACGGGCCAGACUCCUACGGGAGGCAGCAGUAGGGAAUAUUGGUCAAUGGGCGCAAGCCUGAACCAGCCAUGCCGCGUGCAGGAUGAAGGCUCUCUGAGUUGUAAACUGCUUUUGUACAGGAGCAAAAAAGCCCCUGAGGGGGCUCUUGAGAGUACUGUAAGAAUAAGCACCGGCUAAUUCCGUGCCAGCAGCCGCGGUAAUACGGAAGGUGCAAGCGUUAUCCGGUUUUAUUGGGUUUAAAGGGUGCGUAGGCGGCUUAUUAAGUCAGUUGUGAAAUCCUAGUGCUUAACGCUAGAACUGCGAUUGAUACUAUU
RNAcentral lists this ribosomal RNA (406 nucleotides) under Cardinium endosymbiont of Bryobia sarothamni. RNAcentral's name for it is "bacterial SSU rRNA". It matches the Rfam family "Bacterial small subunit ribosomal RNA", at positions 234 to 637 of the family's 1533-position model. The record is from RNAcentral. Lineage: Bacteria; Pseudomonadati; Bacteroidota; Cytophagia; Cytophagales; Amoebophilaceae.